Molecule: long non-coding RNA, 2141 nt
Organism: Heterocephalus glaber (naked mole-rat)
Lineage: Eukaryota; Metazoa; Chordata; Mammalia; Rodentia; Bathyergidae
Source: RefSeq, a predicted model, not a curated record
ACACACACACACACACACACACACACACACAGACGCGCACACUCGUAAACCAAGAGUCAGAGGCUGGGCUCGACCUCCCUUCCUGUAACCCUCUUCAAUCCCGACUAGAAAGGCACAAUCUCUUCAUUACUGCUAUCUCAAACCUGUGCCCCAAGCGAGUGUUUCCACAGAGCUAAUUUCUGAAACAAACAAAGAAAAGCAACUGCGAGGAGCGAGGGUUUCCUCUCCCUUGCUUUGGAUUUGGGCAUCCAGGGUGACUGGCGCGGCACCGCUAACUGCCACGGGGCGCCCAGCUUCGCCCUAACCUUCCCCGCCCCGCCAGCCUCCGCUCCAGCAGCGCCAGAAAGUGCGAGCCGCCCAGCUCCUUUCCCCGCUCGCCUCCGGUGCCCCAGCCCCAAAAUCCCCGCGUUCGCACUCCACGGGCGCCACCGCUCUGCCGCCUCUGGCCAGUCAGAUGUCGGGCGCGGAGGUGCUCCGGGCACCGAGGUGCUGGCCGGGCUAACAAGUGUCACAGCGGACGCCUGCCCCGCUCCCGGAGCGCCGGCGGGACGGCCACAGGACGCCACCCUGGUGUGACUUCCCAACAAGGCCCAUUUUUAAGUACUGUAUGUGGCUGGCUGAAGAGUUAGAGGCUUCUGAGCAUUCUCCAGGGUCUUCUUGGCCUCAUCUGCACUGGACUUUGAAGCACCCCUGCUCAGUACAAGGAGACUCAAGCACCACCAGCCCCCCACCCCACUCCAUUUUCCUCCUUUUUGUGCAAUGUGACCUCAUCUGGAGGCCUUCAGGGAUAUGCGUCCAUCAUUCCCUGGACCACUCUAUCAGAAAGGAAAUUCUGUUUUCCCCAGAGUUUGUUUGAGCAAAGAAGACAGCAUUUACUUGUUUGACUAGUAAUCUAUAUAUCCCUCCUGAUCUUUAGAUGAAGUACUUAGCUAUGUCACCUAAUAGGAUUGUUACCAUGUGGGCUUUGAAGAUGACAACAUCUGGGUUCAAACUCUGGUUCUGCCACUUACUAGCUUGAGCAAAGUCUUAGACUCACUGAGCCUCAGUUUCUCCAUCUACAAUAAAAGUACUGACAGAGUGUUGUGAAUAUUAAACAAAGAUAUGUGUAUGCAUCUGGCAUAAAGUAUGUGUCACAAAAAUGAGUGUGAAUUGUUCACAUGAAGGAUGGAACUUAAGGUCUGCAAACUUUUUGCUUCCUUCACUGGAGAUAACUAAUCAGAAGUGACUUAUUCUGCUGGGAAAAUGUCUCAUUGUUGGCCCAAAGUUUAAACUUAUUUUUUUCAUUCCAAAUGGAGCAAUAAGCAAUGGAUUUCAUUAUUCAUUUCUGAUGUCUCACAGAAGAAUGUCAGAUUCUAUAUCUGCAGUUUGGAUGAUAAUAUUUGCCUUCAUAGAGCUUUAGUUUGAGAAAGUAAAACAUGGCUCUGUGAAAUAGAUUAUUUUCAUUAUUCCAAAUUGAUAGAUGAAGGGAUACUUGCUGUGACGGCACCACCCACCUCCAGACCACCGCCACCAUGUGCUGUACAGAAUCAGAAAAAGAUGGAGAGUUACAGCCAAGGCCCAGCCUGUUGGCAGGAGACAGAAGUAACUAUGAAGCGCAUUAUUCUGAAGAACAAACGUAAAGCUCCAGGUUCAGAACAGAAAUUGGAAAGUUGAUGGAUCAUUUGGAUUGUUAAAGCAUAACCAAUGGAGAAAACUCAGCAGGCAUGGCUGUUCACUAUCAUCUUCUUCAAUUCAGAGGCCUAGCUGCUUGCUGCUUCUUACAUCAGUAAAUCAAUCAGCAGGCAGGGCCUGAAACAAAAUGCUAACCCCCUUCUCCACCAAUAGGCCCAAGAGCCUGUUUGUGGACCUUCCAAAGUAGUUCGCCAUAUUAAGCAAUGAGAAAACCAGCUCUUGUAUUUUAUCAUUCCUGUAUGGCAUUAUGUAAUUCAAGAACCUGUUUGUGGACCUUCCAAAGUAGUUCUCUAUAUUAAGCAACAAGAAAACCAGCUUGUGUAUUUUAUCAUUCCAUAAUUCCUGCUUGCUAGUGAAAAGAGAAUACUGAUGCUGCAAAGAUCUUAAUCUGUUUGACAUCUAAUCUGAUCUGUUAUUUUAGACAUCUCUACUGUCUUUUUGCAAUAUUAAAAGACCUAUGGAUAAAAGAA